Molecule: non-coding RNA, 6022 nt
Organism: Podarcis lilfordi (Lilford's wall lizard)
Lineage: Eukaryota; Metazoa; Chordata; Lepidosauria; Squamata; Lacertidae
Source: the annotation of a GenBank genome assembly
UGGGGGUAUUAAAAACACACACACAAAAUAAAUCUGGUUUUUAAGAAAAUGCACUGUUGUCGCCACAGAAAUUACACGGAACAGUUUGGCUUCCAGGGUGCAGAUGUAAAUUCUCUUUCCCCCUCCAUGUUGAAAACCUGUUCCAUAACACUGAGAUGAGAAUAUGCGAGUGAAUAUUCUCCAUUUGCCUUAUUGCAAAAAGCAGAUUUCUCAUGCUGGAUCAGGGCAUUACUGGGAGGUUGCAAAGGGGUAGCCAUGUUAGUCUGUUGCAGCAACGAAGAACCAUAUGUAAAAUUCUGAGUAAAUUUAAACUGAUUAUUUAGACUUUUAAGCUGUCGCGAGAUCCCUCAUUCUCUUUAUUAGGAGAGGCUACUUGAGGAAAACAUGGAGAAAUGCCAAGAAAUGGCUACGAAGCUAUUUCUAACUGCCAUUACGCUUGCAAGCCAAGUUUAUUGAAUGCCGCAGUUUAAAUGGCCGCCUUCUCUGUCAGGUUCAAUAUGGCUACCGAAAGUUGUGUCAUAGGCCAUUCCUUGUGCUGGAUGACGAGGGAAAACAAGAAAAUAAGACUGUCGGCUCUUCAAGGAGGGUCGACAUGAGGAGCCGAGUUUUCCUGGAAAGGAGCCGGCAGCUCUAUAGGAAAGAACCGGGUGGGAAGCUGAGGAGACGGAGGCCAUUUUGUUUUCAGUCCCUCAGGAUGAAAAACCGCCUAAAUGAGCAACUUGUGGUUUUCGUUUGCUUGUUGAAAAGGAGUAAUAAGCUCUGCCGUUUUAUCCCCUCCAUGGCGUGAAAACUAAAAGGGCAGCAAGGUUCCCCUUCAGUCCCUUCUGGGCCGUCGGGGGAAGAGCGUGAGGGCGGCCAUUUUGAAAAGAAGCCAUCUUGACUGAGGUGGAUGGAGACUGGAAAAUGGCCGUCUCUGACAGGAAUCGAUGGACGAGAACGACAGGGUUUAAACUCCUCAAAAAGAGAUAGCUGGGCUUUUAAUUAUUUAAUGCCAUUGAUCUGGCUUAUUAUAGGAUUUCUCACCAGGCCUUCAACCAUAUAUGGUCCUAAGGGCAGGCUGACGCAGUUUUUUAAAACCAGAUAAACAUUAUUUUUAAAAAAAUGAGAAACCAACUUGGGUCUGGUUGGCCCAACUUGACCACUUCAAUUGGCACAAUUGCAGGUGCCCCAAAAAUGUCCAUUUCACGUUUGUAAGUACUUGGUCUUUUAGUGUUGUUGCAGCAGCAGCACUGUGGAACUACCUGCCUCAUGAUAUCAGGCAUAUGCCUUCAAUGUAAUAAUAAUAAUAAUAAUAAAAAUUUAUUUAUACCCCGCCCUCCCCAGCCAAGGCGGCUAACAAGCAAUAAUAAAAACAAUGUACUUUUUUUGGCGUCUGCUAAAACCAAUUUUGCUUAGACAGGCCUACCCAGAUGCUUAGAAGGUCGAGGUCAUUUUAGUCUACUUUAGUAUUUUAACUUUUGCAUGUUUUUAAAAGUAUGGUUGUGGUAUGUUUUUUUCUCUGUGUUUUUGCUUUGUCUAUUUGUAAACUGCUUUUUUUUUUUUUUACAUUCAGCUAGCGGGAUGUAAAUUUAAUGGAAUAAUAAAUAAAUAAAUACUGUUUGAAUUGGAAAACGGAGGUUUUUAUAAAAACACCCCUUAGCUGUCCAAGGCUGGGGUAAAGAGUUGCAUCUCUUUUGUUUUCAUUUUCUUUUAAUUUCAAAACUUUAUAACCCGCCUGCUAGCCCUGUAAGGUCUCUCAAUAUGGCUUAUCCUGGAACAGGGGGAAAAAAUACAAUCCAAAAUGCAUGAUUAUUAUUAUUAUUAUUAUUAUUGAAAGGAGCCCGGCAUAAUGUACAAGAGGUAAGUUAAUAUAAUACGAUAACUUAAAAUGUACAGGAAAAUACACACAGGCACACACUCCACCAUAAAUAGCAUUUAAAAAGCUUUGCGAGAACAGAGCUGUCUUGCUUUAGUGCCCAAGACAAAAUGGAGGUGCCUGGUGGGCCUCUUUAGGGCGGCUGGAGUCGUGCCACUACCACCAAAAAGGCCCUGCUUCAAAAACGCGUCGCUGUUACCUCCUGUGAAAUGGAAACUGAAGCAGAGCCAGGGGCGUAGGAAGGGGGACGGGGGGUGUAAAAAAUGAACAAUUACUGCCCUGCUAGGGCGGUUCAUAAAAAACUUUUUUUUAAAAAAAUGCCUGCUCCAAAGGUCUUAUCCUACUACACUAGGGAUUAUAUAGCUAUAUCUGAAAUUUCAUGCAUAUCAGUUAAUAUCUUGACCCUACUCCACGAAAAUAACUGUUUACUUGGCUGUAUUCAUCUGACAUGAAGGUUGAAAUUUCAAUUCAGUGGAGCCAAAACACAAUCCACCCUGUAGAUUUAAGUAUCUGUCCACAGAUCUGUUAUCAGAGGCCCAGAAUCCACAUUGUAAGAAAAUAUGAAAUAACGUAAAACUAUUUUUGCAGGCCAAAAAAUAAUCAAUGGGGGGGGGGGUGACAAGAGAUUUUCCACACCAUGGAGAGAUAAAAUCAAGAUAUGGAAAUAUGGAAAUAUUGAUGAGAAUCAGGACUGAGAUUUGGAAAUGCUUUGAGGUCCAGACUGUGGGAAGUCGUAAAAUCAAAAUUACAAUUCAGAAGACAAUUGGAUUUUUUAUUUUAGUUUUUUACUUUUGAUUUGAUAUGUUAAUUGGAUGUUUUUUAUUGGAAAAUUAAUAAACGCUCUAACGAAGCAAAAAAGAAAAGAAAUUUUCCACACCAGGUACCACCCGACCUUCCUGCGCCUCUGAGCAGAGCCCCCUAGUUAUCUUAAAUAAAAGCUGGGGCAAUAAAACAGGAGAUGAAACACACAUGCACUUUCUGCAUUGAUGCGUUUGGCCCAGAUUGGGCCAGGGCAGAGAUCAGCCGCUAGACUCUCUAGGACCAAAUCCGCCCGGUUUCUCCCCAGACCCAUAAGGUGAGUGUAAUAAUAAUAAUAAUAAUAAUAAUAAUAAUAAUAAUAAAUUUUAUUUAUAUCCCGCCCUCCCCAGCCGAAGCCGGGCUCAGGGCGGCUAACAACACUAAAAUAGUGCAACAUUAUAAACAUUAUAAAAAUUAAUUAAAAUCAAAAUUGAUGGCAACCAUAAACUAAAGUUUUGUAAAGAUUGCCAAAGGAGGGAGUCAGGCUGUGCCCUGACCAAAGGCCUGGUGGAACAGCUCUGUCUUGCAGGCCCUGCGGAAAGAUGUCAAGUCCUGCAGGGCCCUAGUCUCUUGGGACAGAGCGUUCCACCAGAUCGGGGCCAGUACUGAAAAGGCCCUGGCUCUGGUUGAGGCCAGCCUAACCUCUCUGUGGCCCGGGACCUCCAAGGUGAUUUUGUUUGAAGACCAUAAGUUCCUCUGUGGGACAUACCAGGAGAGGCGGUCCCGUAGGUACGAGGGUCCUAGGCCGUAUAGGGCUUUAAAGGUUAAAACCAGCACCUUAAACCUGAUCCUGUACUCCACCGGGAGCCAGUGCAGCUGGUAUAGCACCGGGUGAAUGUGAUCUCGCAGCGAAGACCCCGUAAGGAGUCUCGCUGCAGCAUUCUGCACCCGCUGGAGUUUCUGGGUCAGUCUCAAGGGCAGCCCCACGUAGAGCGAGUUACAAUAAUCCAGUCUGGAGGUGACCGUCGCGUGGAUCACAGUGGCUAGGUCAGGGCGAGAGAGGUAAGGAUCCAACUGCUUAGCUUGGCGGAGAUGAAAAAAUGCCGCCUUUGUUAUAGCUGCAAUCUGCGCCUCCAUAGAGAGGGAGGUGUCGAAGAUUACACCCAAACUCUUAACGGACGGUGCUGGCACUAAUUGCGCCCCCGCAAGAGAUGGGAGUUGCCCCCUCAAUCCCAUAUCGUUCCGUCCCAGCCAGAGGACCUCUGUCUUCGAAGGAUUUAACUUCAACUGGCUCCCACGAAACCAUCCAGCCACAGCCUCCAAACAUCUGAUCAGUGUGUCUGGGGCCGAGUCAGGAUGGCCAUCCAUCAACAGAUAGAGCUGGGUGUCAUCGGCAUACUGAUGGCAACCCAGCCCAAAACUCCGGAAAAGCUGAGCGAGUGUUAGUGGGCCUGCUGGCUGCGGCCAUCCGCUUUGGGGGAGCAAGCGAGGCCGCAAAGCGACAUGUCUCUUGCACGCCAGACUCAAUUUAAGGGAAAUUUUUAAGUUUUAGGACUUGGGGAAAUUUUUAAUGACAGAUGUUUUGAUGUAUUUUUGGAUUAUUUUCAAUUUUAUUGAAGUUAUUCACAACACAAAUCUACUACAGCAACAACUGAGACAAAUAAACCCACCACCAUAACAUCUAAAACGAAACAAACUUUACAACAAUACACUUACAACAAAGAAAAACGAAAUAAAGGACUUCCUUUAUCCUGUACACGGCUUCCUUAUUUACUUCUUAUAAACUGUUUCCCGUAUAGAUAACUAUGACUGGUUGUCUCAAAUUGUAACUUAAGAACCAUAAAUCCUCCUGCAAGAAUUAAUCGAAACAAGUCCGGGUGGUUAUUUGGGGGCACUGCUUUAAGGUACCGUAUUUUUUGCUCUAGAAGACUCACUUUUUCUCUCCUAAAAAGUAAGGGGAAAUGUGUGUGCGUCUUAUGGAGCGAAUGCAGGCUGCGCAGCUAUCCCAGAAGCCAGAACAGCGAGAGGGAUUGCUGCUUUCACUGCUCAGCGAUCCCUCUUGCUGUUCUGGCUUCUGAGAUUCAGAAUAUUUUUUUUCUUGUUUUCCUCCUCCAAAAACUAGGUGCGUCUUGUGGUCUGGUGCGUCUUAUAGAGCGAAAAAUACGGUAUUUUUAAUCUUUUGUCGGAAGCCGCCCAGAGUGGCUGGGGAAACCCAGCAAGAUGGGGGGGGGGUAUAAAUAAUAAAUCAUCAUCAUUAUCAUCAACGGCAUCCUGGACAUUUUUCUCUCUGUUUCAGGCAUAAAAGCAUCUCUGGCCUGCCGCGAAAGGAUCGACCCAAACGUUAACCUGGAUGCAAAGGUAUAAUGAGCCAUUGGGAGUGCUGCACGGACGCCAUCCAGAAAUGCCGCCCCCACCUUUCUUCCUCCUUUGCAGGCGAUGGCGUCAGUCAGGAUGCGGCCCUCCUGUGUCGCUUUUUCCAGCCGUAUCCUCUCUCUCUUGCUGUGUUUGGCAAUGGUAGAACUCACACUGGUGAGGUAUCAUGAUCCGGUGGUUCUAGACUUGCCAACUACAGCCUGAGGGUCGAGCCUCAGUCGCCCGUCCUGCGGUCAGGGAGAAUGGACCCGCUAGCAAACAGCUCCCUCUGCCAGUGGUCGAGAGCAGGCGCAGACAGAAGUGAAAUUCCAAAUUCUCUGCCCGCUCAGGGUCACAGAGCAAGUAGUCCUUCGGAACGGGGGGCUUCCCCAGCCCCACUCUUGGCUUGGGUUCAGGGGGGCUGCACGGGGCCACUGAAAUCUUCUUGUGCCAAGAUGAUUGUUUCUUCUAACGAGGGAUAGAAAUUUUUAAAAAAUAAAAUAGAAUUCAAGUUUGUCCUCAUUGAAGAUGGAGGCUACCAUCUUGAAUUGUGAAUUUAUUGUGUAUAAAUGUUGGCUGCAAGGAGUGUGUUUAUGGAGGGCGUGGAGGGGUACCAGGCUCCAAAGAUAUGGAGUCUUUCGUAAAAAGAGAUUGCGGGAUUAAGCCAAAGUGCAGCAUCCCGUUCUCACGGUGGCCAAAAGAGAAGCCUGCAAGCAAGAUCUGAGCACAAGAACAUUCUCCGCACUUGCAAUUCCCAGCAAUGGAGGUGCUGCAGAGAGGCUCAAAAUGGACUAUUUUUUUUUUAAAAAAAGAUGAAUGCUGUUGUCCUCUGUGUCUGGGACUAGCUUUCACACGGUCUCCGGCACAGUUCCGUUCCUAAUCUACAUUUCCUCUCGCAAGUGCCCCUUGUCCUGUCUCAAGGCCGCAAACUGGUUCCUUGCAAACAAAGAACCACCCCACCACCUUCCAAAUUCUGCAUAACCUUUGAAAUAUAACCUUUGAAAUUACAUGUCGCUGAUGCUUUGCAAUAAAAGUUCCUUCUUUUCUCUGGGAUCCUAUUCCUAUUUUGCAGGGGGG